GAGCGGGCGUAGCAAUACGUCAGCGGCAGACGGGUGAGUAACGCGUGGGAACGUACCUUUUGGUUCGGAACAACCCAGGGAAACUUGGACUAAUACCGGAUAAGCCCUUACGGGGAAAGAUUUAUCGCCGAAAGAUCGGCCCGCGUCUGAUUAGCUAGUUGGUGAGGUAAUGGCUCACCAAGGCGACGAUCAGUAGCUGGUCUGAGAGGAUGAUCAGCCACAUUGGGACUGAGACACGGCCCAAACUCCUACGGGAGGCAGCAGUGGGGAGUAUUGGACAAUGGGCGCAAGCCUGAUCCAGCCAUGCCGCGUGAGUGAUGAAGGCCCUAGGGUUGUAAAGCUCUUUUGUGCGGGAAGAUAAUGACGGUACCGCAAGAAUAAGCCCCGGCUAACUUCGUGCCAGCAGCCGCGGUAAU
Molecule: ribosomal RNA, 416 nt
Filed under: uncultured bacterium
Lineage: Bacteria
Description: bacterial SSU rRNA
Rfam family: Bacterial small subunit ribosomal RNA
Source: RNAcentral